CGUGUAGGCCGCAGUGAAGCCUGAGCUCGAGUAGGGCCCAAGCAAGCCAGGAAGGAGGAGGCAGCCAGAGUGUUCUCUGCAGCAGAAGAGCCCUUGCUGCCCUGCUUAACCCAGACCAGCAUUUGCCAGGUUUUCCAUCAUGCGCACUUGAUUGGCACGCAUUCCAGGAGAAAUGCUACUACUACUCCCCCACACAUCGGGACUGGGAAAGCGCCAGACACACAUGCCAGGACUUGGGUGCAGAUCUAGUAGUGAUUGACAAUGAAAAAGAACAGGACUUUCUUGUUUACAUGAGUGAUGGAAGAACAUACUGGAUUGGUUUUAGUGUCAAUAAGAAUGAAAGAGAGUGGAGAUGGGUGGAUGACACACCUGUAUCUUACACAAAUUGGCAGCAGCAUUCAGAAUCAAAUAACCUAGCUAAGAACAGAUCAAGUAAAAACUGCGCCAUUUUAGAAGAAGAAAAGAACUUCCUGUGGGAUGAUGUUAUGUGUAAUAGUUACCAUCUGUUUAUUUGUGAAAAGAACAUGAAGCUUGUCUGCAUCUGGCAGUCUCUUUAUACUUCCCAUUGAAACAACGUUCCUCUUGGAUGUUGUGUCCAUGUAGACAGAAUUGUGUGCACCAUACAAUGCAGGAGUGCCAGAGACGGCAGUUUCUACAACACCCUGCUAGCAUUUCUGCAAGCAUCUCCAGCAGUUACUAGUUUAAUUGAUUUUGCAAGGAAGGAAGGAAAGACACUCUUGAAUGUCAAGGCAUUUAUGAGAGGGAAUUACUGGAUAUGGGUUCUCUUUUAUGUACUUUAUUAAAUUAAAAAAACCUUCCCGUUUCAAAAGUG
Hemicordylus capensis (graceful crag lizard) is the source of this 832-nucleotide long non-coding RNA. RefSeq lists it as uncharacterized. The record is from RefSeq and is a predicted model, not a curated record. The transcript has 4 exons. NCBI's taxonomy places the organism in Eukaryota, Metazoa, Chordata, Lepidosauria, Squamata, Cordylidae.